GAUGAAGAACGUAGCGAAAUGCGAUAAGUAAUGUGAAUUGCAGAAUUCAGUGAAUCAUCGAAUCUUUGAACGCACAUUGCGCCCGCCCGUAUUCUGGCGGGCAUGCCUGUUCGAGCGUCAUUUCAACCAUCAAGCCCCCGGCUUGUGUUGGGGACCUGCGGCUGCCGCAGGCCCUGAAAACCAGUGGCGGGCUCGCUAGUCACUCCGAGCGUAGUAAUACAUCUCGCUCAGGGCGUGCUGCGGGUUCCGGCCGUUAAAAAGCCUUAUUUACCCAAGGUUGACCUCGGAUCAGGUAGGAAGACCCGCUGAACUUAAGCAUAUCAAUAAGCGGAGGA
RNAcentral lists this unclassified non-coding RNA (335 nucleotides) under soil metagenome. RNAcentral describes it as "partial contains 5.8S ribosomal RNA, internal transcribed spacer 2, and large subunit ribosomal RNA". The stretch from base 1 to 120 matches the Rfam family "5.8S ribosomal RNA", at positions 35 to 154 of the family's 154-position model. The record is from RNAcentral.